RNAcentral lists this ribosomal RNA (279 nucleotides) under uncultured bacterium. RNAcentral describes it as "partial 16S ribosomal RNA". It matches the Rfam family "Bacterial small subunit ribosomal RNA", at positions 506 to 784 of the family's 1533-position model. The record is from RNAcentral.
UGGCAGCAGCCGCGGUAAUACGGAGGGAGCGAGCGUUAAUCGGAAUUAUUGGGCGUAAAGGGCGCGUAGGCGGCUAGGCAAGUUGGAGGUGAAAGCCCUCGGCUCAACCGAGGAAUUGCCCCCAAAACUGCCUGGCUUGAGUCCCGGAGAGGGUAGUGGAAUUCCCAGUGUAGCGGUGAAAUGCGUAGAUACUGGGAGGAACACCAGUGGCGAAGGCGGCUACCUGGACGGGUACUGACACUGAGGUACGAAAGCGUGGGUAUCAAACAGGAUUAGAUA